AGAGUCUCUUCCUGGCUCAGAUUGAACGCUGGCGGCGUGCUUAACACAUGCAAGUCGAACGCGAAAGGGGGCUUCGGCUCCCGAGUAGAGUGGCGCACGGGUGAGUAACGCGUGGAUAAUCUGCCCUCUUGUUCGGGAUAACUGCUGGAAACGGCAGCUAAUACCGGAUAAGCUCCACCAAUUGUAUGGUGGAGGAAAGGAGGCCUCUUCAUGAAAGCUUCCGCGAGGGGAUGAGUCCGCGUCCCAUUAGCUAGUUGGUGAGGUAACGGCCCACCAAGGCAACGAUGGGUAGCCGGUCUAAGAGGAUGACCGGCCACACUGGAACUGAAACACGGUCCAGACUCCUACGGGAGGCAGCAGUGGGGAAUAUUGCGCAAUGGACGAAAGUCUGACGCAGCGACGCCGCGUGAGGGAUGAAGGUUUUCGGAUCGUAAACCUCUGUCAGGAGGGAAGAAAGCGCAUGGCGCCAAUCAGCCAUGCGUUGACGGUACCUCCAAAGGAAGCGCCGGCUAACUCCGUGCCAGCAGCCGCGGUAAUACGGAGGGCGCGAGCGUUAAUCGGAAUUACUGGGCGUAAAGCGCGCGUAGGCUGUUGUGUAAGUUGGGGGUGAAAUCCCACGGCUCAACCGUGGAACAGCCCUUGAUACUGCGCGACUUGAAUCCGGGAGAGGGUGGCGGAAUUCCAGGUGUAGGAGUGAAAUCCGUAGAUAUCUGGAGGAACAUCAGUGGCGAAGGCGGCCACCUGGACCGGUAUUGACGCUGAGGCGCGAAAGCGUGGGGAGCAAACAGGAUUAGAUACCCUGGUAGUCCACGCUGUAAACGAU
This 823-nucleotide ribosomal RNA is filed under the name uncultured bacterium. RNAcentral's name for it is "bacterial SSU rRNA". It matches the Rfam family "Bacterial small subunit ribosomal RNA", at positions 8 to 810 of the family's 1533-position model. The record is from RNAcentral.